This 157-nucleotide small RNA is filed under the name Chrysemys picta bellii (western painted turtle). RNAcentral describes it as "TUC338 (ENSCPBG00000000865.1)". Lineage: Eukaryota; Metazoa; Chordata; Testudines; Emydidae. The record is from RNAcentral.
UGGAGACAGAAGUUCUCUAUUUAGCCACAAAACAGGCACAGUGUCACAGUAGUAGUGACAAUAUCCCCACACUAUCUUGCCAGUGUGUCUCAACCCUGCUCUGGAAGGAUCACCUAAAGGGAUGAUCGGGAAAUUCAGGUAUCUCUGAUUCUCUUCU